Molecule: ribosomal RNA, 493 nt
Filed under: uncultured bacterium
Lineage: Bacteria
Description: bacterial SSU rRNA
Rfam family: Bacterial small subunit ribosomal RNA
Source: RNAcentral
GAUGAACGCUAGCGACAGGCCUAACACAUGCAAGUCGAGGGGCAGCACAAGGAGCAAUCUGAGGUGGCGACCGGCGCACGGGUGAGUAACACGUAUGCAACCUACCUGUAAGAGGGGAAUAACCCGUUGAAAACGGACUAAUACCGCAUAACACUGUAGAACCGCAUGGUUUGACAGUUAAACAUUUAUGGCUUACAGAUGGGCAUGCGCAUGAUUAGCUAGUUGGUGAGGUAACGGCUCACCAAGGCAACGAUCAUUAGGGGUUCUGAGAGGAAGGUCCCCCACACUGGUACUGAGACACGGACCAGACUCCUACGGGAGGCAGCAGUGAGGAAUAUUGGUCAAUGGGCGAGAGCCUGAACCAGCCAAGUCGCGUGAAGGAUGAAGGUUUUAUGAAUUGUAAACUUCUUUUGCAGGGGAUAAAGUGUCCGACGUGUCGGAUUUUGUAUGUACUCUGCGAAUAAGGAUCGGCUAACUCCGUGCCAGCAGCCGC